This 143-nucleotide ribosomal RNA is filed under the name Ceratocystiopsis minuta. Its description in RNAcentral is "5.8S ribosomal RNA". The stretch from base 25 to 141 matches the Rfam family "5.8S ribosomal RNA", at positions 38 to 154 of the family's 154-position model. From Rfam's summary of the family: 5.8S ribosomal RNA (5.8S rRNA) is a component of the large subunit of the eukaryotic ribosome. Lineage: Eukaryota; Fungi; Ascomycota; Sordariomycetes; Ophiostomatales; Ophiostomataceae. The record is from RNAcentral.
GUGCACCAGCUUGUCGAGAACUCGGACGAGACCUGCGAAAUGCGAUAAGUAAUGCGAAUUGCAGAAUUCCGCGAGUCAUCGAAUCUUUGAACGCACAUUGCGCCUGCCAGUAUUCUGGCAGGCAUGCCUGUCCGAGCGUCAUU